RNAcentral lists this ribosomal RNA (424 nucleotides) under uncultured prokaryote. RNAcentral describes it as "bacterial SSU rRNA". It matches the Rfam family "Bacterial small subunit ribosomal RNA", at positions 355 to 796 of the family's 1533-position model. The record is from RNAcentral.
UGGGGAAUAUUGCGCAAUGGGGGCAACCCUGACGCAGCCAUGCCGCGUGAGUGAAGAAGGCCUUCGGGUUGUAAAGCUCUUUCAGGUGCGACGAUGAUGACGGUAACACCAGAAGAAGCCCCGGCUAACUUCGUGCCAGCAGCCGCGGUAAUACGAAGGGGGCAAGCGUUGUUCGGAAUCACUGGGCGUAAAGAGCGCGUAGGCGGUUUGACUAGUCAGAGGUGAAAGCCCAGGGCUCAACCCUGGAACGGCCUUUGAUACUGUCAGACUAGAAUCCGUGAGAGGGUGGUGGAAUAUCCAGUGUAGAGGUGAAAUUCGUAGAUAUUGGAUGGAACACCAGUGGCGAAGGCGGCCACCUGGCGCGGUAUUGACGCUGAGGCGCGAAAGCGUGGGGAGCAAACAGGAUUAGAUACCCCCGUAGUCC